RNAcentral lists this long non-coding RNA (400 nucleotides) under Felis catus (domestic cat). RNAcentral describes it as "lncRNA (ENSFCAG00000052941.1)". Lineage: Eukaryota; Metazoa; Chordata; Mammalia; Carnivora; Felidae. The record is from RNAcentral.
GAGGCUCAGAGAGGGCACGUGAGGGCCCCAUAGCCACACAGCAAACAGAAGGAAAGUAACUGCUGAAGACGCCCCCAGGGACCCAGCCGGAGGCCCCAGUCCAGCAGGGGCAGAGAGCCCGGGUGGAAAGGGCCAGGAAAGACGGGUGGGCAGGUCGGCUACUGCAACCAUGUAAGAGCUGACAGCUGCACGACGUGCUUCGGGAGGCAGCAGACCCAGGGGCGAAGCCCAAGGCCUCCGGAGCCAGCCUGGUGGAGUUCAAAUUCCAGCUGUAGCACUGAACUAACCAGGUGACUCCGGCUGAUUCUUUACUCCAGCGCCCCUCCUUCCCUGCAUCCAGAGUGAGCCUUUCAAACAAACUGGAUGGUUUCCCUCGUCUCUUCUCAACCUCCUGACAGCU